GACGAACGCUGGCGGCGUGCCUAACACAUGCAAGUCGAACGAGACCUUCGGGUCUAGGUGCGCACGUGUGCGUAACACGUGGGAACCUGCCCUUAGGUUCGGAAUAACUCCCCGAAAGGGGUGCUAAUACCGGAUAAUGUCUUCGGACCAACGAUUUAUCGCCUUUGGAUGGGCCCGCGUUGGAUUAGCUAGUUGGUAGGGUAAAAGCCUACCAAGGCGACGAUCCAUAGCUGGUCUGAGAGGAUGAUCAGCCACACUGGGACUGAGACACGGCCCAGACUCCUACGGGAGGCAGCAGUGGGGAAUAUUGGACAAUGGGCGAAAGCCUGAUCCAGCAAUGCGGCGUGAGUGAUGAAGGCCUUAGGGUUGUAAAGCUCUUUUACCCGGGAUGAUAAUGACAGUACCGGGAGAAUAAGCUCCGGCUAACUCCGUG
RNAcentral lists this ribosomal RNA (433 nucleotides) under uncultured bacterium. RNAcentral's name for it is "partial 16S ribosomal RNA". It matches the Rfam family "Bacterial small subunit ribosomal RNA", at positions 28 to 507 of the family's 1533-position model. The record is from RNAcentral.